UCGGGAAUUUUGGGCAAUGGGCGAAAGCCUGACCCAGCAACGCCGCGUGAAGGAUGAAGUAUUUCGGUAUGUAAACUUCGUAAGAAUAGGAAGAAUAAAUGACGGUACUAUUUGUAAGGUCCGGCUAACUACGUGCCAGCAGCCGCGGUAAUACGUAGGGACCAAGCGUUGUUCGGAUUUACUGGGCGUAAAGGGCGCGUAGGCGGCGUGGUAAGUCAUCUGUGAAAUCUCCGAGCUUAACUCGGAACGGUCAGAUGAUACUGCUGUGCUAGAGUACAGAAAGGGCAAUCGGAAUUCUUGGUGUAGCGGUGAAAUGCGUAGAUAUCAAGAGGAACACCUGAGGUGAAGACGGGUUGCUGGGCUGACACUGACGCUGAGGCGCGAAAGCCAGGGGAGCAAACGGGAUUAGAUACCCCCGUAGUCCCUGAGCGGGCUGGCAAGGCGCAU
RNAcentral lists this ribosomal RNA (447 nucleotides) under uncultured bacterium. RNAcentral's name for it is "bacterial SSU rRNA". It matches the Rfam family "Bacterial small subunit ribosomal RNA", at positions 355 to 825 of the family's 1533-position model. The record is from RNAcentral.